GAAAAUUACAAGCACGAGCUUAAAACUCAAAGAACUUGGCGGCGCUUUAAACCCACCUAGAGGAGCCUGUCCUAUAACCGACAACCCCCGUUAAACCUCACCUCUCUUAGCCUUCAGUCUAUAUACCGCCGCCGUCAGCUCACCCCAUAAAGGCCCAUUAGUAAGCAAAAACGGUUUAGCCCUAAACGUCAGGUCGAGGUAUAACUUAUAGGGAGGGAAGAGAUGGGCUACACUUCCAACCCCGGAUUUUACAAAUUUAUACUGAAAACAAACAUGAAGAAGGAUUUAGCAGUAAAUAAUAAAUAGAGCAUUUU
RNAcentral lists this ribosomal RNA (314 nucleotides) under Campellolebias chrysolineatus. Its description in RNAcentral is "partial 12S ribosomal RNA". It matches the Rfam family "Bacterial small subunit ribosomal RNA", at positions 875 to 1360 of the family's 1533-position model. The record is from RNAcentral. Lineage: Eukaryota; Metazoa; Chordata; Actinopteri; Cyprinodontiformes; Rivulidae.